AAAAAAAGACGGGCGAGAAACAGAGCACCCAAUUCCCCUCAUGUCUCCCAAAUCGCCGCCACCAACCGCCUCGUAUGCCUCCUCCGACCCACCUCGCCGUCGGCCCUCCCGCUCCCCACUCCCACAUCACAGCUCCGGAGGCUACCGGAUCCGCCGCAUCCACCAUCCACCCAUCCCUCUCCCGUCCCAUCCCUCUCUCUUCACGCGGCUUCUCGAUGCGCCACCUGCGUCGGCUAAUUCACGCGGCGUCCGGCGAAUCCCGCCACCGUAAAGCACAGCUCGAGGCCCCCUCGCAUCAUGGACCCCCCCAACCUCCCACACACACACAAUCAGGCUAGGUCCGGCGCUCGCAGCCACCAAAGACCACCGACUAGCCUCCCCCUAUGGCUAGGGUUUCGGGCGCCGGGCAUCGGCUCCGGCGCUGGUGGCCAUGUCGUUUUCUUUUCCACUUGCUUGCCCCUGCAGUCAUCUCUUGUUACCUAGUUCUGUUAUCGUUGAAGAGAUUGUUUGGAAAUUGCUGCACACAAACCUGCUUGCACGUCUUCGGGGCAGCGAUGACGGCGAUGUCUGCUCUUUGUCGCUUUCCCUCUUCCCACUGAAGUGGACACUGGUUUCAGUCCAUUGGCAACAAAAGAAUUUGUAUGACUGAGAUCGAGUUAUAUACAUUGUGAUAUAUGCAUCCGAUGACCUGGAUACAAGAUGCCAGUGACUUGCUGGAUUUCACAUUGCACGUGUGAUGUUUUGUGCAUCGAUACUCACAACACUACAAGAAUGCGACAGAUUGACUAUGGUUUGGUAAAAAUUAGGAUAGUCUAAAUGCAGUGAAUCCCAUUUUUCAUGCUGCAUCUUUUCUUUUGAACAGUUUCUGAAAGUAUUGGAGUGCCCAUGUUCUUAUCAGUCUUGUUUUCCUUUUCUCAAGAUUUAGGAUAAUUUGUUUAAGAUGGUUCGGCAAAAGUGCAACACUGCCUUUUAAUCUAUGGUUUAAAGCUUUGGACUGCUACCUCAGAAAUAUGUAUCGCCCAUAUUUGAACUCAUCCAAACUGUACAAUUUUUCUUGGAUGAUUGUACCAUUCGGUUUCCUCUUUUAAAGUAGUUUUGUUAUUUGUUGUGAAUAUGGGUGGGUGCGGCAAAGCGAGCCUUUAUGUUCUAGUAUGUAUACUCUCCAGUUCAUUCAUCCUGAUGCAUGUGUAUAACUAUCUAACUAACUCGGGGAUAAAUUCAUUGAGCCAGAUGUAAAGUUGUUAAGGUAGUAACUAGGACACAUUGAGCGGGAGGAGUAUAUCUGGCUCUUCUUUUAUUAAGUAGGAAUGGAACUUGAUUGAGCUUUACUUGUGUUGCACUGUUCUAUAGAUGCAUGAGACACCUGUAAGUCUGUAACCUUUCUCCCUUGGUUUUGCAGCUGCACGCACCAACUCGAUGCAGGGGGACGCCAUGGAGCAAGUCGAGUUCGUGGAACAAGUCAUGGACGAUGCCAUGGAAGAUGAAUGGGCAUGUCGAUAAGGCACUUGUGAAAACUAAAGAUUUGGUAGGGAGUCACAAAAACUGCACUACUCCCAGCAAUACAGAAAAAACAAAGAUGGCAUGGCCUUCAACCUUUAUUCAAAAGAUAUAUGGAUGAAUAUAUGGGUUUAGUGGCAAGUAUACUGCAAUUGAUGACGUAGCAUCGCUAGCAAGAAUGAACGGGUCCGCGUGAUAUGCCAUCACUGUCCUGUUAACACAGGUCUUCCUGUAAUCAUUAACCUUUACCUGACCAAGAGGGAUCCAUGUGCACCUGAAUAAUGCCACCUUAACUUUCAUAUAGUUAAGCUUCUAAAUA
Triticum aestivum (bread wheat) is the source of this 1816-nucleotide RNA transcript. RefSeq lists it as uncharacterized. NCBI's taxonomy places the organism in Eukaryota, Viridiplantae, Streptophyta, Magnoliopsida, Poales, Poaceae. The transcript has 5 exons. The record is from RefSeq and is a predicted model, not a curated record.